Molecule: ribosomal RNA, 494 nt
Filed under: uncultured bacterium
Lineage: Bacteria
Description: partial 16S ribosomal RNA
Rfam family: Bacterial small subunit ribosomal RNA
Source: RNAcentral
GACGAACGCUGGCGGCGUGCUUAACACAUGCAAGUCGAACGGUGAAGCGCCUUCCUUUUUGGUGGGUGUGGAUGAGUGGCGAACGGGUGAGUAACACGUGAGUAACCUGCCCCCUUCUUCUGGAUAACCGCAUGAAAGUGUGGCUAAUACGGGAUAUUCUGGGUCUGUCGCAUGAUGGGUCUGGGAAAGAUAUUGUUUCGGUGGGGGAUGGGCUCGCGGCCUAUCAGCUUGUUGGUGGGGUGAUGGCCUACCAAGGCGGUGACGGGUAGCCGGCCUGAGAGGGUGGACGGUCACACUGGGACUGAGACACGGCCCAGACUCCUACGGGAGGCAGCAGUGGGGAAUAUUGCACAAUGGGCGCAAGCCUGAUGCAGCGACGCCGCGUGAGGGAUGGAGGCCUUCGGGUUGUGAACAUCUUUCUCCAGUGAAGCAGGCCUGCCUCGUUUGUGGGUGGGUUGACGGUAGCUGGAUAAGAAGCGCCGGCUAACUACGUG